This 2536-nucleotide long non-coding RNA is filed under the name Jatropha curcas. RNAcentral describes it as "long non-coding RNA (JCUR_LNC001496)". Lineage: Eukaryota; Viridiplantae; Streptophyta; Magnoliopsida; Malpighiales; Euphorbiaceae. The record is from RNAcentral.
CAAGUUAAAACUGAAAGCACUUUGUUUGAAGACACGUGUGAACGAAAACCCAAAACUCUGAAAUUCGAAAAAAGGAAAAGGGAAAACGGAAAACCUUAUCCAGCAUUUCCAAAUUCCAAAUCCAAACAAACUGAUAUACCCUUCUCGCUCCCUCUUUUUAUCCUUUUCUUCCUUUAUAUAGCGCUCCUCUCUCUCACUCUGAAAUUGCAGAUCAUCACAUCAAAUGGGUCUGAGGCUCGUGUACGGUGUGGUGUUCCUUUCUUUCUCAUGCGCCUGCUUCAAGCUUCUGCACCUAUUCCUUCACCCAGUCUUCUACUACACUUCUUCCUGAUAUGUAGGAAUCAUGUAACUUGUUAAUCAAAUGGGUUAGUCUUAUUUUCUUUAUUUUUAAUUUUAUAUAAAAAAAAUUGUUUUACUUUACACAUAUUGGGAUCGAUGUAAUCGAUUGUGAAUUUUCGAUUACAUCUGGGUUGGAUUUGGAUAGAGAGAAAGAGGGAUCAUGUUUUUGUUAUUCCCUGGUUGGCUGUGUUUGAUUUGUUUUCUAAAUAUUAUGUUUUCUGGGUUCUGUAUACUGUGAAAAUCUGUAAUGAAUUGAUGAUUAUGUACUAUCUACUGUAUUGGUAAUGGCUAUUAAAUGAGAAUUAUCUAAUAUUUAUGUAUUAAGUAUGUAUUUAUUUUUAUUUGGUGAAGAUUAUUUUGUUGUAAUUUUUAUUUAAUUGGGUAAAUUAUUUCAGAUUGGAACUUGUAAUAUGAUAUUGGGAUUAAUACUUUUUCAGUAGCAAGAACUUAAUUAUGAUGAUUGAUGAGUUGAACUAAGAAUUAGUUUGGGAUUAAAGUUUAGGGGUGGAUUUGAAAAAUGUCCAAUAACCUAUGGGUUGGUUUGGUUCAAGCCAAUAAUUUUGGAUGAGGGCUUUCAAUAAUAGUGGUAUGGGCAUCCAUUAUGAAUUUGGUUUUGCCAUAUGCUUGUCAAAGGUAGUCAUGCCUGAGCUAAAUUGUACUAUUAUAUGGCCAAAAUUAUUCAUUUCUGACGAAGGUCUUUUUGGUCCUUUUCUUUAACUCAGAUCCUUUGCUCAAAAUAUUUAUUUUCAAUUUUUUAAAUACUAAUUGUUAUAAUUUUCAUUGUUUUCAUGAAUUUGUUAAAAGAAUAAAAAAAAUAAUGCUUAAUAAAAUGUUGACGGAAAAAAAAUGAAAAACAAAAAAUUUAAUAAAACAAACAACACCUUAUUAUUUUCUUUUUAAUUUUUUUUCUCUCAUAGUUUCUACCCAUCCAAACAUAGGGUUAAGCUUGAUACAGCCCCACUCAAUAUUAGAAACUACUCCUAUAUUUCAAAAUAUAAAUUGUUUGAAAAUGAUUGCUUUAUCUUAAAAUAUAAAUCAUUUUGAUUUUUUUUAAAUUUACUUUUAUUUAUAUUAAAUACAACGUAAUGGUGUGAGAUAAAAAAUGUAUUUUUAAUUUUUUUAUAUUUUAAGAGAAUUAAUUAUUUUAUUAAUUUAUGUUAUUUUAUUAAUUUAUAUGUAAAAAUCUUAAACGGUCCGUAUGCUGUAAGAGUAUAAAUCAAUGUGAAGCCUAAUUUAUUAUUUAAAUUUAAAAUUUAAUUAAUAUUUUAAAUUAUAAAUAAGUAGAAAACCAUACAGGUGCACCCAAAUAAGUCUUCCCACGUGACAUUCCUACCCGGAUUUCCCACGUGGCAAGUUAAAACUGAAAGCACUUUGUUUGAAGACACGUGUGAACGAAAACCCAAAACUCUGAAAUUCGAAAAAAGGAAAAGGGAAAACGGAAAACCUUAUCCAGCAUUUCCAAAUUCCAAAUCCAAACAAACUGAUAUACCCUUCUCGCUCCCUCUUUUUAUCCUUUUCUUCCUUUAUAUAGCGCUCCUCUCUCUCACUCUGAAAUUGCAGAUCAUCACAUCAAAUGGGUCUGAGGCUCGUGUACGGUGUGGUGUUCCUUUCUUUCUCAUGCGCCUGCUUCAAGCUUCUGCACCUAUUCCUUCACCCAGUCUUCUACUACACUUCUUCCUGAUAUGUAGGAAUCAUGUAACUUGUUAAUCAAAUGGGUUAGUCUUAUUUUCUUUAUUUUUAAUUUUAUAUAAAAAAAAUUGUUUUACUUUACACAUAUUGGGAUCGAUGUAAUCGAUUGUGAAUUUUCGAUUACAUCUGGGUUGGAUUUGGAUAGAGAGAAAGAGGGAUCAUGUUUUUGUUAUUCCCUGGUUGGCUGUGUUUGAUUUGUUUUCUAAAUAUUAUGUUUUCUGGGUUCUGUAUACUGUGAAAAUCUGUAAUGAAUUGAUGAUUAUGUACUAUCUACUGUAUUGGUAAUGGCUAUUAAAUGAGAAUUAUCUAAUAUUUAUGUAUUAAGUAUGUAUUUAUUUUUAUUUGGUGAAGAUUAUUUUGUUGUAAUUUUUAUUUAAUUGGGUAAAUUAUUUCAGAUUGGAACUUGUAAUAUGAUAUUGGGAUUAAUACUUUUUCAGUAGCAAGAACUUAAUUAUGAUGAUUGAUGAGUUGAACUAAGAAUUAGUUUGGGAUUAAAGUUUAGGGGUGG